RNAcentral lists this ribosomal RNA (752 nucleotides) under Drosera meristocaulis. RNAcentral describes it as "eukaryotic LSU rRNA". The stretch from base 333 to 489 matches the Rfam family "5.8S ribosomal RNA". The record is from RNAcentral. Lineage: Eukaryota; Viridiplantae; Streptophyta; Magnoliopsida; Caryophyllales; Droseraceae.
UUUCCGUAGGUGAACCUGCGGAAGGAUCAUUGUCGAAACCCCGAAGGUACGACCCGCGCGCCUGUAUCUAUAAUAACAAGGGGAACCGCGUGAUGUGCCCCCUCACGGGAGCCCGUCGCCUCUCCCCCCGUUUGCCGGGCUGGGCCUCGUCCCGUCGCGAGAAGUCCGCAUCGGCCUACGCUCGUCGAUCGGCGGAGCCACGCCGGGCAAAGGCAAUCGAAACCCGGGCGCAGCUGGAUGCGCCAAGGAAAACGGAUAGAGAGCGAUGGUUAGAGCUUUCCCCCGGCCCCUCUGUCGGCGCGGGGGAAGGCGAUGCCGUCAUCGGCAGAGACGACUCUCGGCAACGGAUAUCUCGGCUCUCGCAUCGAUGAAGAACGUAGCGAAAUGCGAUACUUGGUGUGAAUUGCAGAAUCCCGUGAACCAUCGAGUCUUUGAACGCAAGUUGCGCCCGAGGCCAUUAAGGUCGAGGGCACGCCUGUCUGGGCGUCGCACAUCGCGUCACCUGCCGAACUCUCCCCCCCAUCGAGAAGCAGGUGGAUGAUGGCCUCCCGUGCCUCGGGAUAGAAGGCGCGGCUGGCCGAAAUCGGGAGCUGGGGCGAAGGAGGCCGCGGCAGUGGGUGGUCGGCGAGGCCGGAUCGGCAAGAAGUCACGACAACUUGUCGCGGCCCCUCCCCCCAAAGGUCGCUCGGUUCGACCCCGUGGUGCCGUUCGUGGAGGCACUCUGCGGCGACCCCAGAUCAGGCGGGAUCACC